This 484-nucleotide ribosomal RNA is filed under the name uncultured bacterium. Its description in RNAcentral is "partial 16S ribosomal RNA". It matches the Rfam family "Bacterial small subunit ribosomal RNA", at positions 28 to 523 of the family's 1533-position model. The record is from RNAcentral.
GACGAACGCUGGCGGCGUGCUUAACACAUGCAAGUCGAACGGAAAGGCCCUGCUUUUGUGGGGUGCUCGAGUGGCGAACGGGUGAGUAACACGUGAGUAACCUGCCCUUGACUUUGGGAUAACUUCAGGAAACUGGGGCUAAUACCGGAUAGGAGCUCCUGCUGCAUGGUGGGGGUUGGAAAGUUUCGGCGGGUGGGGAUGGACUCGCGGCUUAUCAGCUUGUUGGUGGGGUAGUGGCUUACCAAGGCUUUGACGGGGAGCCGGCCUGAGAGGGUGAGCGGCCAGAUCGGGACUGAGAUACGGCCCAGACUCCUACGGGAGGCAGCAGGGGGGAAUAUUGCACAAUGGGCGGAAGCCUGAUGCAGCAAAGCCGCGUGCGGGAUGACGGCCUUCGGGUUGUAACCCGCUUUCGCCUGUGACGAAGCGGGAGUGACGGUAAUGGGUAAAGAAGCACCGGCUAACUACGUGCCAGCAGCCGCCGUAA